This 65-nucleotide transfer RNA is filed under the name Fukomys damarensis (Damara mole-rat). It matches the Rfam family "tRNA". Rfam says of the family: Transfer RNA (tRNA) molecules are approximately 80 nucleotides in length. Their secondary structure includes four short double-helical elements and three loops (D, anti-codon, and T loops). Further hydrogen bonds mediate the characteristic L-shaped molecular structure. tRNAs have two regions of fundamental functional importance: the anti-codon, which is responsible for specific mRNA codon recognition, and the 3' end, to which the tRNAs corresponding amino acid is attached (by aminoacyl-tRNA synthetases). tRNAs cope with the degeneracy of the genetic code in two manners: having more than one tRNA (with a specific anti-codon) for a particular amino acid; and 'wobble' base-pairing, i.e. permitting non-standard base-pairing at the 3rd anti-codon position. The record is from Rfam by way of RNAcentral. Lineage: Eukaryota; Metazoa; Chordata; Mammalia; Rodentia; Bathyergidae.
GAUAUAGCUCAGUGGUAGAGUGCUUGCCUAGCACACAUGAGGCCCUGGGUUUGAUCCCUAGUAUC